AGAGUUUGAUCCUGGCUCAGGAUGAACGCUGGCGGCGUGCCUAACACAUGCAAGUCGAGCGAUUCUCUUCGGAGAAGAGCGGCGGACGGGUGAGUAACGCGUGGGUAACCUGCCCUGUACACACGGAUAACAUACCGAAAGGUAUGCUAAUACGAGAUAAUAUACUUUUAUCGCAUGGUAGAAGUAUCAAAGCUCCGGCGGUACAGGAUGGACCCGCGUCUGAUUAGCUAGUUGGUAAGGUAACGGCUUACCAAGGCGACGAUCAGUAGCCGACCUGAGAGGGUGAUCGGCCACAUUGGAACUGAGACACGGUCCAAACUCCUACGGGAGGCAGCAGUGGGGAAUAUUGCACAAUGGGCGAAAGCCUGAUGCAGCAACGCCGCGUGAGCGAUGAAGGCCUUCGGGUCGUAAAGCUCUGUCCUCAAGGAAGAUAAUGACGGUACUUGGGGAGGAAGCCCCGGCUAACUACGUGCCAGCCGCCGCGGUAAUAC
This 491-nucleotide ribosomal RNA is filed under the name uncultured bacterium. RNAcentral describes it as "bacterial SSU rRNA". It matches the Rfam family "Bacterial small subunit ribosomal RNA", at positions 8 to 526 of the family's 1533-position model. The record is from RNAcentral.